This 301-nucleotide ribosomal RNA is filed under the name uncultured bacterium. RNAcentral's name for it is "partial 16S ribosomal RNA". It matches the Rfam family "Bacterial small subunit ribosomal RNA", at positions 509 to 808 of the family's 1533-position model. The record is from RNAcentral.
CAGCAGCCGCGGGAAUACGUAGGUGGCAAGCGUUGUCCGGAAUUAUUGGGCGUGAAGCGCGCGCAGGCGGAUCAGUUAGUCUGUCUUAAAAGUUCGGGGCUUAACCCCGUGAGGGGAUGGAAACUGCUGAUCUAGAGUAUCGGAGAGGAAAGUGGAAUUCCUAGUGUAGCGGUGAAAUGCGUAGAUAUUAGGAAGAACACCAGUGGCGAAGGCGACUUUCUGGACGAAAACUGACGCUGAGGCGCGAAAGCCAGGGGAGCGAACGGGAUUAGAUACCCCGGUAGUCCCUGUCUCUUAUACC